GAUGAACGCUAGCGGCAGGCUUAAUACAUGCAAGUCGUGGGGCAGCAUGAGUAGCAAUACUUGAUGGCGACCGGCAAACGGGUGAGGAACACGUACACAACCUUCCUUCAAGCGGGGAAUAGCCCAGAGAAAUUUGGAUUAAUACCCCAUAAUAUAUUUGAUAAGGCAUCUUAUUAAUAUUAAAGCUUCGGCACUUGAUGAUGGGUGUGCGGCUGAUUAGAUAGUUGGCGGGUAACGGCCCACCAAGUCUACGAUCAGUAGCUGAUGUGAGAGCAUGAUCAGCCACACGGGCACUGAGACACGGGCCCGACUCCUACGGGAGGCAGCAGUAAGGAAUAUUGGACAAUGGACGAAAGUCUGAUCCAGCCAUGCCGCGUGAAGGAUUAA
RNAcentral lists this ribosomal RNA (387 nucleotides) under uncultured bacterium. RNAcentral's name for it is "bacterial SSU rRNA". It matches the Rfam family "Bacterial small subunit ribosomal RNA", at positions 28 to 412 of the family's 1533-position model. The record is from RNAcentral.